This is a long non-coding RNA of Saccostrea cuccullata (small rock oyster), 281 nucleotides long. RefSeq lists it as uncharacterized. The record is from RefSeq and is a predicted model, not a curated record. The transcript is spliced from 3 exons. Lineage: Eukaryota; Metazoa; Mollusca; Bivalvia; Ostreida; Ostreidae.
AAAAUCAUAUAAAAUGUAUGAUGAUUCAGGAUGUGGUCAUUUGAGACCUGUUCUGUGGAUGCCCUUAGACAGUGUGUCUACCCAUCACGCCAUCUGAUAUCACUUGUUCUGAGCAUAUUUCUCUCUCAAACUUAAACUACAGAGAGCCUGUGGAUAGAGGAUGAAGAGUGACCUUGGACUAAUUUUCUAGGUCAAAGAUCAUAGGUGAUGUGAAGGAAAUACCAGGGAACUGAUGUUGAAAGAAGUACUUAAUGACGCUUAUGAAUGGACUUAAACGUGAA